AUGAGUAGUAAUAAUUUAUGUAUAUAUUUUCUUGUUAUAUACCAUUGAAAUUAUGCAGAUCCAUUCCAGAAAUAUAAAAAAUUAAAUUAUUAGUUAAUUAAUAAAAAUAACCUAUUAUUAUGUUGCUACUUACAUUUAAUUAGACGAGAUAUUUGAUGUACAUUCGAAAAUUUAUUACUAUUAUCCAUAGUGAGAGAUGACUUUGAUAAUUCACAAUUGAUAAACUGGUGACGGUUUGUUUAUCAUUUGAAUUCUUGUUCUCAAAGGGUUUUAAAAGAUGAGACUUUCUCCUAGAGAAAGAGAUGGUCUUUUAUUGCAUCAGGCAGGAUUUGUGGCACAGAAAAGAUUGGCUAGAGGAUUGAGAUUAAACCACCCGGAAGUUAUAGCGUUAAUUUUCAUCACAGAUACAAGAAUUAAUUAGAGAUGGAUUAAGUGUUUCGGAAUUAAUGAACUUGGGAAAGCAGAUGCUGGGAUUUAGACAGGUAAUGCCUGGAAUAUCUGAAAUGAUU
Long non-coding RNA from Centruroides sculpturatus (bark scorpion), 509 nucleotides. RefSeq lists it as uncharacterized. The transcript is spliced from 4 exons. The record is from RefSeq and is a predicted model, not a curated record. Lineage: Eukaryota; Metazoa; Arthropoda; Arachnida; Scorpiones; Buthidae.